Molecule: transfer RNA, 77 nt
Filed under: Escherichia phage vB_EcoM-RPN226
Lineage: Duplodnaviria; Heunggongvirae; Uroviricota; Caudoviricetes; Pantevenvirales; Straboviridae
Description: tRNA-Arg
Rfam family: tRNA
About the family: Transfer RNA (tRNA) molecules are approximately 80 nucleotides in length. Their secondary structure includes four short double-helical elements and three loops (D, anti-codon, and T loops). Further hydrogen bonds mediate the characteristic L-shaped molecular structure. tRNAs have two regions of fundamental functional importance: the anti-codon, which is responsible for specific mRNA codon recognition, and the 3' end, to which the tRNAs corresponding amino acid is attached (by aminoacyl-tRNA synthetases). tRNAs cope with the degeneracy of the genetic code in two manners: having more than one tRNA (with a specific anti-codon) for a particular amino acid; and 'wobble' base-pairing, i.e. permitting non-standard base-pairing at the 3rd anti-codon position.
Source: RNAcentral
UACGGGGCAUAGCUCAAUUGUAUAGAGCAACGGACUUCUAAUCCGUAGGUUGAAGGUUAGAAUCCUUCUGUCUCGAC